This is a long non-coding RNA of Ostrinia furnacalis (Asian corn borer), 1018 nucleotides long. RefSeq lists it as uncharacterized. NCBI's taxonomy places the organism in Eukaryota, Metazoa, Arthropoda, Insecta, Lepidoptera, Crambidae. The transcript is spliced from 2 exons. The record is from RefSeq and is a predicted model, not a curated record.
ACGAUAUUAUUGACUAUUGACAGUCUUGAGAUAGUGACUCUUGUGUUGUGGUGCAUCGGGAUAGUGGUUUUACCGUGCGAGAUAGUAACUCUGUUGGUAGAUGCCGGCCGGCGUUUAUGCUACCUGCCUGCCUCAAUAAAAAUGAAUCGAACAGGCAGUUUGAGUCCAGAGAGUAAUCACCGACGAUGUAUCAACUGUCCAUUGGCAGUACCAAGGAACACAUUGAUACACACAGUGGAAAGUGUGCACAACAAUAUAUUAGAAGUUUUGAACUCAUGGGUGAUACCUACCUACUUUGGUUAGUUUUUUUAUUACUCAUUCAUAAACUUAUUCAUGAUCUUGAUGUAGGUAUGUAUAUUUUGUAGUUUUUAUUAAUGAUACCACUUAUAGGUAUAUAAAUUCUGUCUUACAAUAUUUUUGAUGGCCUUAAUUGUUGCCAAUUCCGCCAUUCCGCAAAAAAUUCCAUUGCUGUAGAUGAUGUCCUGGUUUCAAUUUCCAUUUUUGUUGUACAAUUUAAUACAGAUUAACAAAUAUUGCUUGUUUCAGGUAACCGGAACAUAUAAUAUGCCACAAUUGCUACAAACUUACUGUUGCAAGAAGCAACAAUUGGCAGCCCUGAAGUUGGCCAUCAGAGCGUUUGUUUUGGCUGUGGUGGUGUGCAUUAUUAUGCACUAAAAGAAAAACAUAAUUAUUAAAUAAGACCUGAAUCUCCACAGUGAAAUGUCUUUGCAUAGACAGCGCUCAUCUUGUAUCCAGACUUGAGAGGUGUGCUGGAGAACAGCUACUAGAACAGUCGACAGACAGCAGCAGCAUGAUCCUCAAAGGCCAAUAAGAGAAGAAGAACUUCAAAGAACAGACAAGUCACCGUCAAGAAUUACCUCUUCUAUAUCCGAGUAGCGAGCACAGCCAAUCACUAUUUGCACAUAAACUGUACUGGCUCUCUAUAUACAAGUUAAAAAGAUUACAAUCAUCACAUAACAUACUUUAAAAAAUAAAUGUUAUCUGAUCAAUGAUUAUA